This is a long non-coding RNA of Acanthochromis polyacanthus (spiny chromis), 428 nucleotides long. RefSeq lists it as uncharacterized. Lineage: Eukaryota; Metazoa; Chordata; Actinopteri; Pomacentridae. The record is from RefSeq and is a predicted model, not a curated record. The transcript is spliced from 3 exons.
AUCAAUUCAGUCUGAAGAAGUUCGCUGUCCGCCAUUCCACAAUUCCCUCGCUUCGCAAGGGAAGACCGACCUGUGUGUAAGAAGACCUGUGUAAGAUAACUUCAUUAAACAAGAGUCCUCGCAAACAAAAUCAUGGCAGGGCUCAGUAUGGAUGGUGGCAAUGGCAAGGUUACCUUUAGAGGAAUGACCGUUUGCAAGGUCAUGAUUGAAGCCAUUCUAAGGACACAGCCUAGGGCAACUGAGGCAGCUGUUGUGUCCCGAAUUGGGACAUACCUUAGAUCGGCACCUGACAGGAAAGGUGGUGGUGGGCGAAAGACUGCUGACACCAAUGCAGCUGUUAGUGCCUGUUAAUGUUGAAAACAUCUGUUGAUGUUGGAAAGAGUUUUGUACUCUAAAUAGAAAAUAAAAUUGUUCUUAUUUUGUUCAUA